Molecule: ribosomal RNA, 292 nt
Filed under: uncultured bacterium
Lineage: Bacteria
Description: partial 16S ribosomal RNA
Rfam family: Bacterial small subunit ribosomal RNA
Source: RNAcentral
GUGUCAGCCGCCGCGGUAAUACGUAGGGUGCGAACGUUGUUCGGAAUCACUGGGCAUAAAGGGCGCGUAGGCGGUCCAUUAAGUCCUUUGUGAAAGCCCCCGGCUCAACCGGGGAAUUGCAGGGGAUACUGUUGGGCUUGAGUGCAGGAGGGGAGAGCGGAAUUCCUGGUGGAGCGGUGAAAUGCGUAGAUAUCAGGAGGAACGCCGGUGGCGAAAGCGGCUCUCUGGUCUGUUACUGACGCUGAGGCGCGAAAGCUAGGGGAGCAAACGGGAUUAGAAACCCCCGUAGUCC